UACGUAGGGCGCAAGCGUUGUCCGGAAUUAUUGGGCGUAAAGAGCUCGUAGGCGGUUUGUCGCGUCUGCUGUGAAAACCUAAGGCUCAACCUUGGGCUUGCAGUGGGUACGGGCAGACUAGAGUGCGGUAGGGGUGACUGGAAUUCCUGGUGUAGCGGUGGAAUGCGCAGAUAUCUGGAGGAACACCGGUGGCGAAGGCGGCAUCCUGGACCGGCAUUGACGCUGAGGCGCGAAAGCCAGGGGAGCAAACGGG
This 253-nucleotide ribosomal RNA is filed under the name uncultured bacterium. Its description in RNAcentral is "partial 16S ribosomal RNA". It matches the Rfam family "Bacterial small subunit ribosomal RNA", at positions 524 to 776 of the family's 1533-position model. The record is from RNAcentral.